CCUACGGGGGGUAGCAGUGGGGAAUAUUGCACAAUGGGGGAAACCCUGAUGCAGCGACGCCGCGUGAGUGACGAAGUAUCUCGGUAUGUAAAGCUCUAUCAGCAGGGAAGAAAAUGACGGUACCUGACUCAGAAGCCCCGGCUAAAUACGUGCCAGCAGCCGCGGUACUACGGAGGGGGCAAGCGUUAUCCGGAUGUACUGGGUGUAAAGGGAGCGUAGUCGGCGCUGCAAGUCCGGAGGGAAAGCUCAGGGCUUAACCAUGGUACUGCCAUGGAAACUGUGGAGCUUGAGUGCGGGAGGGGCAGGCGGAAUUCCUAGUGUAGCGGUGAAAUGCGUAGAGAUUAGGAGGAACACCGGCGGCGAAGGCGGCCUGCUGGACCGUAACUGACGUUGAGGCUCGAAAGCGUGGGGAGCAAACAGGAUUAGAUACCCUUGUAGUC
This 440-nucleotide ribosomal RNA is filed under the name uncultured bacterium. RNAcentral describes it as "partial 16S ribosomal RNA". It matches the Rfam family "Bacterial small subunit ribosomal RNA", at positions 338 to 795 of the family's 1533-position model. The record is from RNAcentral.